This 573-nucleotide ribosomal RNA is filed under the name Hygrocybe sp. CQW-2012. Its description in RNAcentral is "eukaryotic LSU rRNA". The stretch from base 200 to 353 matches the Rfam family "5.8S ribosomal RNA". The record is from RNAcentral. Lineage: Eukaryota; Fungi; Basidiomycota; Agaricomycetes; Agaricales; Hygrophoraceae.
GUACCUGCGGAAGGAUCAUUACUGAAAGCUUGGGGAUGUUGCUGGCCUUUCGAGGCAUGUGCACUCCUCGAACAUUCUUGACCCAUCUAUCACGCCUGUGCAUGCUUUGUAGAGUCCCUUUGAGGCCUCUAUGUAUUUGUUUUUUUGUACACGCCGAACGUCUUCGAAUGUGUUAACCUAUUAUUAAUAAUAAUAAUACAACUUUCAACAACGGAUCUCUUGGCUCUCGCAUCGAUGAAGAACGCAGCGAAAUGCGAUACGUAAUGUGAAUUGCAGAAUUCCGUGAAUCAUCGAAUCUUUGAACGCACCUUGCGCCCCUUGGUAUUCCGAGGGGCAUGCCUGUUUGAGUGUCAUUGAAUUCUCAACUCGAUCCCUUUUAAAGUGGAUUGAGCUUGGAAGUGGAGCGUGCUGGCCUUACGAAAGGUCGGCUCCUCUAAAAAUCAUUAGCGACGGGCUAACCGCGGCGCCUAUGGCAUUGAUAAUUGUCCAUGCCUUUUGACCGAGCGGUGCUUUCGCUCACAAUUGUCCUUUGGACACUUUUUUGACAAUCACCUCAAAUCAGGUAGACUCCCG